This 1152-nucleotide long non-coding RNA is filed under the name Vulpes vulpes (red fox). Its description in RNAcentral is "lncRNA (ENSVVUG00000015264.1)". Lineage: Eukaryota; Metazoa; Chordata; Mammalia; Carnivora; Canidae. The record is from RNAcentral.
UGAGGUUGCAAAACAAGUAACUGUCAUGGGGCAAAAAUAGGCCAGGAAAGUUUAAACUAAAAGUUAAUGUAGAAACAUCACUUUAAGAAGCUAUGAUGUCUCCAGGUAGUGUGAAGAACAAGUUAUAGAAGUUUGGCAAGUCGUCCAUCCUAUGGCCAAGAAUAUGAUCCCCUUUCCUCGAUGCCCAAGAUCCCCUUUCCUCGAUGCCCAAAAGGUAGAUUUGGCACUGAAUUGUCUUUAUGCAAAUAAAGUGGCAGAGCAACAAGACAGAAUGAAUCCCAAUCUUCAACCAACAUUAAACUGUCAUUCUAGCUCUGGAUUACACAAUUUAGAUUAUUCUACAAGAAAAAGAAAAACAAAAAUAAAAGUUCUGGCAUAUUAUUUCUGUUCCACAAUGGAUCAUCUUGAGCAAAACUAGACUUUGGAGAAACCUGGCUAAAGAUAAAUAUCCAGAAAGUUUAUCAAAAGGAGGGAUCUAAGGAUCUUCAUGUUCUACUUUUUCUUUUACUUUGUUUUCCUGGUUAAUUUUAUCUCAAAACUUAAUUACAGAUAAUUUAUUUGUUCAAACACAGCUUUGUAUAGUUUAACAACAUACAAUUUUCUACUAAAAUGCUACAUUGGGAGUAUCUCAUUGGACGUAUUGUUUAACAAAUUAUUCACUUAAUACUCUCUAUAUUUGUUUAAAUAUACCCUGUGCAUUCACUCUAUCUCUCUUUUUACCUUUAUUAUUCCUUUUUUUGUUCAGGUUUAUCCAUUUCUACAAAUGUACCACUUGCCAUUCUCCAAUAUGUUUAUUUUCUCUUCCAUUUUUAAUACUAAUAUUGCUGCUAUAAGCUUUUUUUCUCCCUAAUAUGCCUUCUUUAUAAGCUUUGUGUGACCAGUGUCUGACUUUGAGAAAAUUUUUGAACUUUCUAUAUAGAUUUAUCAGAUAGCUCUGAGAGGCCUUAUGCUCACUUUUAAAUUUAAAUUGAUGCUGAUCCCCAACAUAAUUAGUCCUCAGAUCUACCUGACCUCCAAAUGUGUGCACAUGUGCAUAACAUAAUACCUACAUAUAUCAAGGACAGUAUAGCACAGGACACAUUGCCUGGGUCCAAAUCCUUGCUCUAUCAUUUAUGAGCUGAAUAAACUUGAACCAAUUGCUUCCUCUUUCCA